Molecule: ribosomal RNA, 478 nt
Filed under: uncultured bacterium
Lineage: Bacteria
Description: partial 16S ribosomal RNA
Rfam family: Bacterial small subunit ribosomal RNA
Source: RNAcentral
GACGAACGCUGGCGGCGUGCUUAACACAUGCAAGUCGAGCGAUGAAGCUCCUUCGGGAGUGGAUUAGCGGCGGACGGGUGAGUAACACGUGGGUAACCUGCCUCAUAGAGGGGAAUAGCCUUCCGAAAGGAAGAUUAAUACCGCAUAAGAUUGUAGUACCGCAUGGUACAGCAAUUAAAGGAGCAAUCCGCUAUGAGAUGGACCCGCGUCGCAUUAGCUAGUUGGUGAGGUAACGGCUCACCAAGGCGACGAUGCGUAGCCGACCUGAGAGGGUGAUCGGCCACAUUGGGACUGAGACACGGUCCAGACUCCUACGGGAGGCAGCAGUGGGGAAUAUUGCACAAUGGGGGAAACCCUGAUGCAGCAACGCCGCGUGAGUGAUGACGGUCUUCGGAUUGUAAAACUCCGUCUUCAGGGACGAUAAUGACGGUACCUGAGGAGGAAGCCACGGCUAACUACGUGCCAGCAGCCGCCGCAG